UGAAUAAUUCUAACAUAAGGCCAUUCAAAACCCAUAGUUUUAUUUGUAUUCCUUGACCCAAGCAACAUCAAUUCGUAGGUAUGAAGACAGUGGAGAAGAUUAACUAAUUAGACGGUUGAAGAUAAAAAGGAGAAUUCCUUUUGUAAUAGAUAAUUCCCCACUAAGAAUCCCGUGCAUCUUGUCCACGAAUCUAGCUACAUUGCUGACUCUUUUCUUCUUUCAGUCAAAUUUGGGUGUUCAAUCAUUCUCACUAAUUAAUUAGCUUUCAAGACGAGAAAAUGUCAAACCCAAUUCACCGAGCUAAUGACAAAAAGUCCCUAUGAAGACCUCACAAGAGAAGAAUUCUACAAGAAGCACCAAAUUCUUCACCAAGAAAGCUUCAUGUUCAACAAGAAGAACAUGAAAAUCUUCAGACAAUCUUGGCUUUCGGAUUCCACUUCUCAGCCAAAAGGGAUUGUAGCCAUGGUCCAUGGCUACUCCUCAGAAAGCAGUUGGCUCAAUGAGCUAACUGCUGUAGCCAUAGCCAAAGCAGGAUUCUUGGAUUUUGCACUCACAUGGGUUAGCUGGUCAUAUAUAUCACAAAUAUUCAAUAUGUUGUUAGUGAUUGCAUUAAGUUUUCUGACUCAGUCAAGGCUAGCAACCCUAAGUUGCCAGCCUUUCUAUAUGGUGAAUCACUAGGGGCAAUUUCAAUCCUUAUCUCUUUGAAGCAAGGGUAUGCAUGGGAUGGCUUGAUAUUAAGCAGUGCUAUGUGUGGCAUUUCACCAAAAUUUAAGCCCAUGUGACCCUAGAGAAACUACUUUUGGCGGCACUGUUUGCACCCACAUGGAAAGUGGUGAUCUCAAAGCCAGUCUCUAGAAGAUCAUACAAGGUAGAAUGGAAGAGAAGGUUGGUUGCCAACAACCCAAACCGCCGGAACUCAGGGAAGCUGGCGGCGGCAACUGCAUUAAAGUUUUUUGAGUGUUUCUGAGUACGUAAGGAUGCAUUGCUAUGACCUAAUUAUAGGUUCCAUUUGUAAUGGUGCAUGGGGAGGAUGAUUUUGUAUGUGAUUUUAGGUCAGCUAGCUUUGUGCAUGAAUCAGCUUCAAGCAAGGACAAGACAUUGAAGAUCUUUCCUGGUAUGUGGCAUGUAUUGAUUGGUGAGCCUAAGGAAAAUGUGGAGCUUGUAUUUGAGACUAUCCUGUCCUGGUUAGAAGAUCAUGCUGCCAAGGCUAAAAAAACCAAGACCACAACAAGUUAAUUACAAGUUCUUUGUUUUUGUUUCUAUCGAUAAUUAAAUUGAUAGAAAGGAAAUGUUAUCAUCACACAUAUACUUGGUAAAAUUAGUAUAUUUCCAGGAAAA
This is a long non-coding RNA of Populus euphratica (Euphrates poplar), 1338 nucleotides long. RefSeq lists it as uncharacterized. The record is from RefSeq and is a predicted model, not a curated record. The transcript is spliced from 2 exons. NCBI's taxonomy places the organism in Eukaryota, Viridiplantae, Streptophyta, Magnoliopsida, Malpighiales, Salicaceae.